Molecule: long non-coding RNA, 3669 nt
Organism: Carassius gibelio (silver crucian carp)
Lineage: Eukaryota; Metazoa; Chordata; Actinopteri; Cypriniformes; Cyprinidae
Exons: 3
Source: RefSeq, a predicted model, not a curated record
UCUGUGUGUAAUGAAUGAAUAUAAUAUACAAGUUUCACUUUUUGAAUGAUAGUUCACUGUUAUAUUGACAAAAUGACAAAGCAUUUUGACUAUCAUGUUUGAGAGCAGUUAUUGUCAUACAAAAUAACAAAAAGUGUUUAAAAGAAUCAUGAAUUAAGCUGGCACGUUUAAAUGUUUGUUAACAUAUUUAUUUGUUCUUACUUUGAUUUUAUAGCCCUAGCCCUAGCCCUAGCCCUAGCUGAGAUCUGCUUCUGCUGCUCAUACUGUGAUCAGCCGCCCUUCCCCCACAGCACUCUCUGAUCGCGCGCGCGCCCUUCCCCCACAGCACUGUCUCUGACUGACUCACUGCAGAUGAGAUGCUUGCAUAUCAGCCCUGCUGUGGGUUUGCAGACUUCAAUUGACUGUUUUGAUUAAUAAAUGCUAUUACAGUUUUUUUUCAAUCGCUUACAAGCGCUUACCCAUACUUUAGAUACUUUUUCUAAACUCUUAACACAGACUCACACCUACAAAACACAACAAUUGGCCAAAUGGAUAAUUUUCUUCUCGAAAACACAUUUUGUUAAAUUUAUACUAAAUCUUAAUUUCAAAAUAGAACACAUCUUUCUGUCAACACACCAACUUUACCAAAACACUGGAAAUCUGACUCAAAAUUAAAUUAUUCUGUCAAAGAAUAACUUGUUUUCACCUCAAAAGGUACAUGCAGUCAAUCAAAGUACACCAGGUUUCAAAAUACUGGCUAUUGUUGACAUUACAAAAACUGCAUAGACUUUUCAGUCUCAGUUUUACAGGUAUUUGCAUGCAAAACAUGCAAUUCACUGUUUUACACUAAAUUUCUUGGUUAGGAACUGUAUGUCCAAAUGUACAGUAAUGUUUACAUUCAAAAGCAUUCCAGUAAAAAGCUAUUUUUUUCCUUUACUGUUUACUGCAGGAGGUACAGUAGAAACGCGGUAUGAUAGAACAGAAAAGCUUUGAGAGUAUUGCUUACAGUGAACAGAAUAUCCAUCUCACUGCUCCUGCUCUUCUCCCUGGCCCCCUUGCUCUUACUCUUCCUCGUCCAUACAUUACAGUGUUUGUCUUUUUCUGUUUCCAAAAAUAUUACUCUUCAAAGUCCUCCUUUUACUGUAUUGUAUAAGUGUCAAUGUAAUAGAAAAAAAAAUAACCCCUGCGAUUGAGUCUAAGCCAGAUUGGAAUCAGCUGUGGUUGGCCCAAUUUACACAACAUAAAUCAGCUAAGAUAAAUUGUUUUUGAACUGAUUUAAUUGCAGAAGCAGAGGUUUUUAUACUGUAUCUAAGGUUUGGAACAUUGUUUUUGCUAUUGUGGGAUGUUGUGUGUUAACAUUUGUAAAUACUACAAAAACGAUCCAUAAUUUUGUUGGGAGGUAUAGCUUGUCUGUUCAGAAAAUGUAAGCAUUGUGGAAAUGUGUUCAAUGACUCCAUAUUGUGUAAAAACGACAUGAAAUGAGUGAAUGGUAUGGCCACAAUAGACAGAUGCUUUGCUAAUUGUGUUUAGAGUUUUGAAAAUAUGACAGCUGCUUGGACAAAUGCUUGUUAGCGACUGAAAACAACUGUAAUAGAAAAUAAGAUGUCUGUUCAAGAGAUCUAGGUUGCUCAUUUAGACAGUUGUGAGCUCUUGUUUACAGCAGACCUGCACAUUUUGAAUAUUCAUAUUUGUAAUCCUCUUAAAAGCUUUAUGAUGUGGUGUUAUUUCAGAAAAUUAAGUACACGUUGGGUACAUUUUUUUUACAAACCAGUGCACUUACUGGUUUGAAAAUCUUAAGAAUGAUUCAAGAAAUUAUAUAUCUAUGUAUCGCUCUCUCUCUCUCUCUCUCUCUCUCUCUAUAUAUAUAUAGAGAGAGAGAGAGAGAGAGAGAGAGAGAGAGAGCAGUUAUAGUCAUACAAAAGAACAAAAGUGUUUAAAAGAAUCAUGAAUUAAGCUGGCACGUUUAAAUGUUUGUUUACAGAUUUAUUAGUUCUUACUUUGAUUUUCAACUAUAGCCCUAUAGCCCUAGCCCUAGCCCUAGCUGAGAUCUGCUUCUGCUGCUCAUACUGUGAUCAGCCGCCCUUCCCCCACAGCACUCUCUGAUCGCGCGCGCGCCCUUCCCCCACAGCACUGUCUCUGACUGACUCGCUGCAGAUGAGAUGAAUGAAUGAACUAACAAAAGUCUUGUGAGCUCUAGUUUACAGCAGACCUGCACGUUUUGAAUAUUCUUAUUUGUAAUUCUCUUAAAAACUUUAUGAUGUGGUGUUAUUUUAUAAAAAUAAGUGCACACCGGGUACUUUUUGCUCUUUUAAACCAGUGCUUGUACGGACAUGCGCACUGGUUCCUAGUUUGAGGUGGGUGCUCGGUUAAAAAGUGAUCAUGUGCUCUGUCCACUAGAAAGACUAACUUCAUCACAUUUUUUUUUUAAGUUUGAAGAAACAGUACUGUGGUCAAAACAAAUAUCAUUGCCACCAGAUAAUUUUCUAUUAGGCCAAAUAAAUGUAGUCACAAUUUCAACGUGAAAUCCAAAUACGUAACUACGUCAUUUACGCAAGUCAGCGACGGUGGUGUUUUCCCGGGAAAUGCAGACACGUGACGAUGGAACGCGCGAAACAGACGACAAACAACCCACCAGGAGGAAAGAAAAACACAACACCGGUUUGGAUAUGAGGUCAUUUCAAGAAAGAAAGUCGCCAUGCUGGGAAAUAAAAGACGUAGGAAACCUCUGCAGGAUGCUUAGCAUCACAUUACCUGUAAAACUGACAAGCCUGGGCUUCGAGAGCAGUUCAUCAGCAAAUAUAAAGGCAAGUAUAAAUGACUAAGCAGUUUAGUAACUAAUAACUAGGGCUGGGGGAUAUGGCAAAAAAGUUAUCACGAUAAUUGUUUUAUAUUAGUCGAUAUCGAUAAUUAUCACAAUAAAUGUCAAAUCUUUAUUUCUUUCAAGUUUAAAGGCAGAUAUUUGCUCCUAAGUGAAAGUUGUAGAAACCAGAGCAUUAAUUGUGGUUUUAAACUACUCUUUAUUGUCAGAACAUAUCAUGACAAACACUUGCCAAACAGGUGAACAUUUCACAAAUCUGAGGUAGAACAUUCAAACAUUUGUUAUUUUUCCUUAACAAAAUAAAUAUAUUUAUUGGAAAAUGUAUUUCUUAGUUCCUGGAUGUGCUAAUGGGGGAUAUUGUUUCAAGUCUUGAAACAGGUUUGUGUUGCCUGACUUUGAUGGCAUGGAUCUUCAGCACAGUUUACAGUGCAGGCAGCAAUAUUAAUAUUAGAUAUAUUUUGUCUCAAAAUGCAUAUUUGACAAUGAUUUGCAGCAGUAUUAGAUUCAGUUAGGAGCAGAUUUACUAUGUAAAAUUUAUGUUCAUUAACAAAAACAGUAACAUCUUUUAAAACGACCUCAAUUUUAUUUGGUAAAAUGUAAUAAUCUGACUGUUUGAGUUUUAUUAAAAUUAACCAUUGGUCAUCCAGUAUCAUGCAUUUAGAUCAUGAUAACCACAAAACCAAAUACUGUAACUAUUUUAUUAAUCCUUUAAUACAUUGUCUACAUUACAGUUUUUUUCAAUCGCUAACAAGCGCUUACCCAUACUUCAGAUACUUUUUCUAAACUCUUAUCACAGACUAACACCUACAAAACACAAUUGGCCAAAUGGAUAAUUUUCUUCUCGAAAACACAUUUUGUUAAAUUUAUACUAA